This 510-nucleotide ribosomal RNA is filed under the name uncultured bacterium. Its description in RNAcentral is "partial 16S ribosomal RNA". It matches the Rfam family "Bacterial small subunit ribosomal RNA", at positions 28 to 507 of the family's 1533-position model. The record is from RNAcentral.
GACGAACGCUGGCGGCGUGCUUAACACAUGCAAGUCGAACGAAGAGCGAUGGAAGCUUGCUUCUAUCAAUCUUAGUGGCGAACGGGUGAGUAACGCGUAAUCAACCUGCCCUUCAGAGGGGGACAACAGUUGGAAACGACUGCUAAUACCGCAUACGAUCUAAUCUCGGCAUCGAGGAUAGAUGAAAGGUGGCCCCUACAUGUAAGCUAUCACUGAAGGAGGGGAUUGCGUCUGAUUAGCUAGUUGGAGGGGUAACGGCCCACCAAGGCGAUGAUCAGUAGCCGGUCUGAGAGGAUGGACGGCCACAUUGGGACUGCGACACGGCCCAGACUCCUACGGGAGGCAGCAGUGGGGAAUCUCCCGCAAUGGACGAAAGUCUGACGGAGCAACGCCGCGUGAGUGAUGACGGCCUUCGGGUUGUAAAGCUCUGUUAAUCGGGACGAAAGGCCUUCUUGCGAAUAGUGAGAAGGAUUGACGGUACCGGAAUAGAAAGCCACGGCUAACUACGUG